This 206-nucleotide ribosomal RNA is filed under the name uncultured bacterium. RNAcentral describes it as "partial 16S ribosomal RNA". It matches the Rfam family "Bacterial small subunit ribosomal RNA", at positions 568 to 774 of the family's 1533-position model. The record is from RNAcentral.
UGCGUAGGCGGUUUGUUAAGUCUGUUGUGAAAUCCCCGGGCUCAACCUGGGAAUGGCAAUGGAUACUGGCAAGCUAGAGUGUGUCAGAGGAUGGUGGAAUUUCCGGUGUAGCGGUGAAAUGCGUAGAGAUCGGAAGGAACAUCAGUGGCGAAGGCGGCCAUCUGGGACAACACUGACGCUGAAGCACGAAAGCGUGGGAGCAAACA